UGACUGGAGGGAUAUAUUAUGUUGGGGGGAGUAGGAGGUGGAGCAACGCUGUUUGCAAUGUGUGUGUCACUCUUUGGUCAGCCAGACCAUUUACGAAUAGUAAGAUGUAGGCUGUCUGGAGUACAGAUAUUUGAUCUUCAACAAGAUGAUAGCCACCACGGAGAGAACACUAAAAUUCAAUCAAAGAUAUCUGUGAAGAUUGUAUCUGUGGGUAUAAAAAGAGGCUCCAUUACUAAGCAAGAUAAGGACAGUAUUGGAAUCAGUAUCCCUUGUGUUAAGCUACCCUGUACUGACUCUGACAAUAUUGGCGUACUUUCUCCAAAACCCCCCCCCCCUCUUUAGAUAGUGACGCUACUUCAACAUCUAACGACAGUGAUGUAACUACACUACAUGGUGAUGUCAUUGUUAUUUCUGACAGUGAUGCUACUGUAUCAAUCUUGUCUCCUAAACGUUAUUCAACUGACUCAGAUGCCACAAAGUCUCUUACUUAUAGCCAUGCAGAUUCAUCAUAAUAAACAACAGUGUUAAUUACUCGUCUAUGUGAUUUUAUAUAUCUUUACUAUACUGUCAACAUUUUCUGUGGUGUAACCUUCACUAUAUGCUCGUUCAUAGUCUUUG
This is a long non-coding RNA of Halichondria panicea, 618 nucleotides long. RefSeq lists it as uncharacterized. The transcript has 2 exons. The record is from RefSeq and is a predicted model, not a curated record. NCBI's taxonomy places the organism in Eukaryota, Metazoa, Porifera, Demospongiae, Suberitida, Halichondriidae.